Long non-coding RNA from Oncorhynchus tshawytscha (Chinook salmon), 568 nucleotides. RefSeq lists it as uncharacterized. Lineage: Eukaryota; Metazoa; Chordata; Actinopteri; Salmoniformes; Salmonidae. The record is from RefSeq and is a predicted model, not a curated record. The transcript has 6 exons.
AAACAGGAGACUCCACCCAAACUACUUAAUGGUGGAGACAUCACCUCAAAAGGUGUGAAGCUGCCCCAAUGAGUUGAUGGUAUGGAGACUCCAACUGCCAAGGUGUGGAACUGAAUCAAGGAUGUGGCUGGAGUGGAGACAUCAUCUUUAAAGGUGUGGAACUGAACCAACGCUGUGAAAGGUAGGCUGCCUUUGCAUAACAUCCCUGCCGUCUCAGAACUGGACAUGUCGACUGGGGUGUUCCUCGUCUGAUGCCCCUUGCAGAAAAUCAGCCCCAACCUACCCUUCAGGUGCACAGUCACCAGAUCACAAUUUAGAAGAGCCUUUCCUAUCUAUUGUCUUGUUUUGGUCAGUGGUGAUAUUUAGUUCUGAACUUAAAGUGGUGUUUAUGGGCCCUCACUUUGAGUGGGAUAUUUAAAGAUGUGUACAUUUUAUGCUGUGACACUUCACCUAUUUAAGAUGUAAAGAAGUGUAACUAUAUGCCUUCAGUGUGUUCACACCCCAGGACUCUAUUCCAUAUUUUGUUACAGCUUGCAUUAAAUUGCGGUUGUUACCGGCCUACACACAG